RNAcentral lists this ribosomal RNA (497 nucleotides) under uncultured bacterium. RNAcentral describes it as "partial 16S ribosomal RNA". It matches the Rfam family "Bacterial small subunit ribosomal RNA", at positions 28 to 507 of the family's 1533-position model. The record is from RNAcentral.
GAUGAACGCUGGCGGCGUGCCUAAUACAUGCAAGUCGAGCGAACAGACGAGGAGCUUGCUCCUCUGACGUUAGCGGCGGACGGGUGAGUAACACGUGGAUAACCUACCUAUAAGACUGGGAUAACUUCGGGAAACCGGAGCUAAUACCGGAUAAUAUAUUGAACCGCAUGGUUCAAUAGUGAAAGACGGUUUUGCUGUCACUUAUAGAUGGAUCCGCGCCGCAUUAGCUAGUUGGUAAGGUAACGGCUUACCAAGGCAACGAUGCGUAGCCGACCUGAGAGGGUGAUCGGCCACACUGGAACUGAGACACGGUCCAGACUCCUACGGGAGGCAGCAGUGGGGAAUCUUCCGCAAUGGGCGAAAGCCUGACGGAGCAACGCCGCGUGAGUGAUGAAGGUCUUCGGAUCGUAAAACUCUGUUAGUAGGGAAGAACAAAAGUGAAAGUAAAUAUGCCCGUCUUGACGGUACCUAAUCAGAAAGCCCCGGCUAACUACGUG